Molecule: long non-coding RNA, 1090 nt
Filed under: Homo sapiens (human)
Lineage: Eukaryota; Metazoa; Chordata; Mammalia; Primates; Hominidae
Description: HSALNT0066340
Source: RNAcentral
GCCCUGGCAAUCACUAUUCCAGUCUCUGCUUCUAUGAGUUUGACUAUUUCAGAUUCCACAUGUAGGAAAUGCUGGAGUCCUUCAUCCGAAUGGUAAAUGGCACUUGUGACAAAAAUCAAAGUAACUAAAAAAGAAUCUGGUUGAAACCUCAGUAACAGUUGGCCUGUCUACUGCCUCACACUAACAAGCCUGUACAAGAAACAUGGUGCCAGCAUCUGCUUCUGGUGAGGACUGCAGGAAGCUUCCAAUCAUGGUCCAAAAAAUGCGGAGCCUGCGUGUCACGUGAUAAGAGAUGGAGCGUGAGAAAGAGGCAGGAGGAGAAAGUGACCCCCACCUUUACAAGUGUCUGUAAUUCUCACUAGCAGUAUAUUAGAGGGCAAAAGAUUUGAACAGACACAUCAGAAAAGAAGACAUACAAAUGGCCGCUAAGCACUUGAAAGGAUUCUGAACACCAUUAGUCAUCAGUGAAAUGCAAAUUAAAGCCAUAAUGAAUGGCGCUAUACAUUUUCAGAAUGGCAAGGAUUGAAGACCGAAAAAAAUCAAGCGUUGAGGAGAGUGACAAAUGGGGAGACAGCCGUGGUGCAUGAUCGCCGAAUAAAUACCAUGUGAGGAUACAGCAAGAAGGUGGCCAUCUACAAGCCAAGGAGACAGGCCUCAGAAGAAACCAACCCUUCUUACACCCUGGACUCAGACUUCUAAUCUCCAGAACUUGUUAAUGCACAAGGUCUUGUGUUGAAAAUGUAGAGCCACGAGAUAAAAGCAGCUUGGAUGGCUGACUCAUAUACAAGGACAACUGCCUGAGAGUCACCAGGGCUAUCAAGAAGUUUGCAGAAACAAGAAAUAAACUUUUACUGUUUUAAACUUUUGUGAAUUUUGGGUUUUGUUUAUCACCAAAUAAACCUAGUCUAUUCUGAUUGUUAUAAGUGGUUAAUUUGGGAAGUCAGAUAUAUUUAAAAUUGGCUUACUGCUGUAACAUAUACAGUCCAAAUUACAUAAUGGCUCAAAUGCAAUAGAAGUCUUUUUUUUUUUUGCUCACAUAUCACUUCACUGAGAUUCUGCAUUAAUUGUAAUGAUGAGGGUGAGGGUGUCU